AAAGAGCCCCCCAGUUUCUGGCUGGGUUUUUCUCUCUCAACACUCUACAAAACUUCUCUCUCUCUCUCUCUCUCUCUCUCUCUCUCUCUCUCUCAGAUUAAGUCCUCGUAGUAUCUAAUUACCUCCAACAGGAAAAAGGAGAAAAAGAAAAAAAGAAAAGAAAAUCCUCGUGGGUCUUUGAUCGUCACUUUGAUUAGAGAAGACAUGGCGCUGAAUCUCCGGCAAAAGCAAACCGACUGCAUUCUCCGCAUGCUGAAUCUGAACCAACCGCUGAAUCCCGGAGCCGGCGCCGGCGACGACGAGGAGGUCUACAAGAUCCUGAUCUACGAUCGCUUCUGCCAAGACAUCCUUUCUCCCCUCAUCCACGUCAAGGACCUCCGCAAGCACGGCGUUACCCUUUACUUCCUCAUCGACAAGGACCGCAAGCCCGUCCUCGACGUCCCUGCCCUCUACUUCGUCCAGCCCACUCCCCACAACAUCCGCCGCAUCGUCCUCGACGCCUCCAAUUCCCUCUACGAUUCCUUCCAUCUCAACUUCUCCUCCUCCAUUCCCAGGCCCUUGCUCGAAGAUCUAGCCUCCGGUACCCUCAACUCCGACUCCAUCCACCGCAUCUCCAAAGUCCACGAUCACUACUUGGAGUUUGUCACCUUGGAAGAUAACUUGUUUUCCCUCGCCCACAAGGCUUGCUACCUUCAGCUCAAUGAUCCCUCAGCCGGGGACAAGGACAUUGAGGACAUCGUUGACAGAAUCGUCGCCGGCCUCUUCUCCGUCCUGGCUACUCUUUCCGUUGUUCCCGUGAUUAGGUGCCCCCGCGGCGGCCCUGCCGAGAUGGUGGCCUCCCGCCUGGAUCAGCGUUUGCAGGACCAUCUCUUGGCCAAGAACAAUCUCUUUACCGAGGGCGGAAACUUCGCCAGCUCCUUCCAGAGGCCCGUCUUGUGCAUUUUCGAUCGGAAUUUUGAGCUGUCGGUGGCCAUUCAGCACGACUUUAGGUAUAGGCCGUUGGUCCACGAUGUGCUCGGAUUGAGACUGAAUAAGCUGAAUGUGCAGGGCGAGAAGGGCGGGAUGAAAUCCUACGAGCUGGAUGGGUCUGAUCCCUUCUGGGUUGCAAACGGAGCGUUGGAGUUCCCGGAUGUGGCUGUUGAGAUUGAGACUCAGUUGAACAAGUACAAGAAGGAUGUGGAGGAAGUCAACAGGAAGACUGGUGGAGGCGGUGAUGUGGACUUCGAUGGUAACACUAAGCAUCUGAUGAAUGCGGUCAAUUCUCUUCCGGAGCUGACUGAACGGAAGAACGUGAUUGACAAGCACACUAAUAUUGCUACUGCGCUGUUGGGUGAGAUCAAGGAGAGGUCUCUUGAUUCCUAUGCCAAGAAAGAGAGUGACAUGAUGGUGAGGGGUGGAAUUGAUCGAAAUGAGCUCGUAGGAGUGCUCAAGGGAAAGGGGUCCAAGUCGGAUAAGCUGCGCUUUGCUAUCAUGUGUCUUAUUUCUACUGAAAACAUCCCGCAGUCAGAGAUUGAAAUGGUCGAAUCGGCAUUGAGGGAGUCUGAGGUGGAUACUAGCGCAUUCCAGUAUGUCAAGAGGAUAAAGUCGUUAAAUGUUUCGUUGUCAUCAGCAAGUGCCGCUAGCAGGAGCAACAUUGUUGAUUGGGCUGAGAGACUCUACGGGCAGUCAAUUAGCGCUGUCACUGCUGGUGUGAAGAAUCUGUUGUCUAGUGAUCAUCAGUUAGCCUUGACAAGAACGGUGGAAGCGCUAAUGGAGGGAAAACCAAAUCCUGAAGUUGAAUCCUAUCUUGCUUUUGAUCCCCGUGCUCCAAAAUCGAGCUCUGGAGCGAGCAGCAGUCACCUGAAAGGACCAUUUAAAGAAGCUAUUGUGUUUAUGAUUGGUGGUGGAAACUAUGUGGAGUACGGAAGUCUGCUGGAGCUGGCUCACCGGCAGCAGCCUGUAAGACAUGUUAUCUACGGCACAACAGAGAUUCUCACUGGUGGAGAGUUUGUGGAGCAGCUAGCGUCGCUGGGACAUAAGAUGGGAUUAGGAAGUAGUGCUGCUGCUGCUGCUCCCCCAGCCCAUUGAGAGUUGAUUAUGGAUGCUGCAAGGAACAUAUGAUAUUUGUACAUUUGGGACUGCUGUUGGGAGCGGCACUGAUUGGAGAGGAGUUCAACGUCAUUACUUGCACUUUUCUUGAAUAGGAAGACGAUGACUACAUAUUUGUGGGACAUAAGAGGGGACCGGUUGGAUGCUUGAUGAAGUAGGCAGCUGUAGAUUGUCUGAUUAUGCUCCUAUGUUCUUGUCAUUCUUCAUCGAUGAUGCUCGAGGUAUUUGUAAGUUUGACAGAGAAUUUUGUUUGGUUAUUUGCAUCGCAAUUUAGAGGAUAGAAAAAUGCAGUUUAGACAUGAAACGGAGGAGGACGGGAUUGGUGUCUUUUUAUGUGUACAAGUUUGACAUCAGUGAUGGCUAAAUUUGAGAUGUAUGCAUUCCUAUUAUCAAAAAAAAAAAAAAAAAAAUUAGGAAUGCAUUCCUAUACGUAAGGUGCUGGAGAUAAUCAGUAGUGUAUGUGUUUCUUGUUUAUAUGGAUUUUGUUUCUGCAGAGUAUUGAAGUAGUAGUAUUAAACA
Coffea arabica (coffee) is the source of this 2607-nucleotide non-coding RNA. The record is from RefSeq and is a predicted model, not a curated record. Lineage: Eukaryota; Viridiplantae; Streptophyta; Magnoliopsida; Gentianales; Rubiaceae.